GUAAGUGUCAGUCACAUCCACAUGAAUACUAGGAUCCAAGAUUUGCCCAUAGCAUACAACUGCCUCCACUAGCCUGCCUUCUAACCAUAGUGCAUCCUGCUGCCAUCUCUUCUCUAGGUAAACAACACACCCAGUUAUCCAGCUGAAAGAUUAGGCAACCGCCACCUAUUGCUUUAUGGUCCUGUGUUGAUGCUUAUGUCCCAAUUGAAAGUGCUUUGUAU
Pelobates cultripes (western spadefoot toad) is the source of this 221-nucleotide non-coding RNA. The record is from the annotation of a GenBank genome assembly. NCBI's taxonomy places the organism in Eukaryota, Metazoa, Chordata, Amphibia, Anura, Pelobatidae.